AAAUAGAAUAUCACAACUGUUUUGUCUUUUCUGCAGUUAUCUUAUUUUGACAAAUCAGACUACCUAUGAACUUGUAAGGAGAAGACGGAUUCCUUACCUAAGGUCAAUUCCGGAAAGAGUGCAUCCAUUCAGCAAAGUAAUUUGUGGAAAUUUAUACAACUUCUGCUGUGCCAGGAGCAGCAUAUACAGUUUAGAACCACUUCCUAUCCCUCAAGAGAUAGAGGAAAAGUCAAGACCAUAUACAUGCUUGGAUGUCAUUAAUUGUCGAUGUUGCUGAUAGUUUUUGUGUAAGUGAAAGUCUGUUCGUCCAACAGUUUAAUUGUGAAAACUAAGGAAUUUGUCAAUGCACCUUUGCUUAGAUGGGUAGGUUUUAUCUUUAGGCGAUUUGGUUUGUGAUUUAUCUUCUGUUAUUCA
Non-coding RNA from Cajanus cajan (pigeon pea), 414 nucleotides. NCBI's taxonomy places the organism in Eukaryota, Viridiplantae, Streptophyta, Magnoliopsida, Fabales, Fabaceae. The record is from RefSeq and is a predicted model, not a curated record.